Ricinus communis (castor bean) is the source of this 782-nucleotide long non-coding RNA. RefSeq lists it as uncharacterized. The record is from RefSeq and is a predicted model, not a curated record. The transcript has 3 exons. Lineage: Eukaryota; Viridiplantae; Streptophyta; Magnoliopsida; Malpighiales; Euphorbiaceae.
AGAGAAAUGCAAGGAAGAGAAAGGGGCAGUGGCUAUCAACGUCGUUCUGGGCAUUUUCGGCGGCCAAUAACGACAAUUUUGAUCCUAAAAUGACCGAUGAGUUAAUGGCUUUCUUUUAAAAAUAGCGGCGUCGGCUUUGGUGGCUAGAGGAAGGAGUUCCGGUGAAGUAAAGGCGGCCAGGAUCUCGUGCUUUUUCGGCGAGUUCUGGCAAGGGAUGAUCGAUUAGAGGACAUAUCCGGAAUCCCCUCAGCUCAAGCUUUCCAAUGGCACCGGUUUCGUGGCGAUUGGACUCCGUUUGAAAAUUGACGGCCGAGAUCGUCUGUAAAUUUCUUCGUAUGAUCGGAGGUCGGAUUAGAGGAUCGGAAGCUGAAAUCAUCAUCAGCACGUUAUUUCAAAUUCGUGGCGCAUUUGGAUCGUUGGUCCAACUCCGGCGGCUAGAGGCAAGUCGACCGAGUGAUCAAGCGUCUCGAUAAAUCCGUCAGUUCGGUUGGCUCCACCCGAGGCAUCGAAGCAGGGCUAGGAGGUCAUCAGAACUGUGUUGUUAGCUUUUCUGCAGUUCUUUUCAUUUAGCAGCCCGAUUCCUUCAUCUUCGGGUUAAUGUAACUAAUUUUUAGUAUGUUUGAAUUUUAAACUUUUAGAAUCUCCGCAGUAGAAAUUUCAGACUUUCAUUUUGAAAUUUUAUGUAAAUUCAGGUCUUGCCAAAUUAUGCUGACAGGCCGAAUUAAAUAUGUAGUAUCUGAUGGCUAAAUGUUAAUUGUGGAAUAGAGCUAAUGGUUUGAAUC